GUGAAGGAAAAAUAUGAAACAUGAUUUUUUUUAUGAUUUUUCUAUUGUUACUUGUGAAAUUGAGUAUUUUACAAUUAACUAUUAUUUUUCUAUUUACCAUUUUACCAUUUUUAGUCAUCACAUUUGUUCAACGUAUAAAGCAUAAUUGUUGAAAGAAAAUGACAAGUCCAUACAUUUUUACAACUAUUAUAUGAGUUAAUGACCAAUACUUUUAAUUGUCAGUCAUUCCUAAUGUCAUGGUACUAAAUGUUUUCACUAUAGCUUUUAAAGUAUACAAAGUCAACAAAGUCUUAUUUAUCAUAUAUGUUUACACAAAAACUCAUACAUCACUGAUCAGUAAUGCAAUUUGACAAAAAAAUUUUGACUUGGAAGAAGGUAAAUUUAUACUCCAAAUAUAAGUCUAUACAGUUUUAUUAACCGGAUUUUUGUGACAAAAAUGUCGGUUAUUGAUUUGGGGAUGUACGGCGGUCGGGCAGUCGGGCGGGCGGCAAUCAAAUGUUGUCCGUGCAUUAACUCAUGAACCGAUCAACCAAAGCUUUUAAAAUUUUAAUAUGUUAUUCCUGACAACUAUACGAAGGUAAAGUUCAAGAAUGGCGAUUUUGACUUUUACCGUUCAGGAGUUAUGGUUCUUGAAAGAUUGAAAAAUGGAGUUGUCGGUGCAUUACGCAUGAACUGUUCUACCAAAGCUUCC
This 691-nucleotide long non-coding RNA is filed under the name Mytilus galloprovincialis (Mediterranean mussel). The record is from RNAcentral. Lineage: Eukaryota; Metazoa; Mollusca; Bivalvia; Mytilida; Mytilidae.